GACGAACGCUGGCGGCGUGCUUAACACAUGCAAGUCGAACGGAAAGGCCCUGCUUUUGUGGGGUGCUCGAGUGGCGAACGGGUGAGUAACACGUGAGUAACCUGCCCUUGACUUUGGGAUAACUUCAGGAAACUGGGGCUAAUACCGGAUAUGAUCUCCUGCUGCAUGGUGGGGGUUGGAAAGUUUCGGCGGUUGGGGAUGGACUCGCGGCUUAUCAGCUUGUUGGUGGGGUAGUGGCUUACCAAGGCUUUGACGGGUAGCCGGCCUGAGAGGGUGACCGGCCACAUUGGGACUGAGAGAGGGCGCAGACUCCUACGGGAGGCAGUAGUGGGGAGUAUUGCACAAUGGGCGGAAGCCUGAUGCAGCAACGCCGCGUGCGGGAUGACGGCCUUCGGGUUGUAAACCGAUUUCGCCUGUGACGAAGCGUGAGUGACGGUAAUGGGUAAAGAAGCACCGGCUAACUACGUG
RNAcentral lists this ribosomal RNA (468 nucleotides) under uncultured bacterium. RNAcentral describes it as "partial 16S ribosomal RNA". It matches the Rfam family "Bacterial small subunit ribosomal RNA", at positions 28 to 507 of the family's 1533-position model. The record is from RNAcentral.